RNAcentral lists this unclassified non-coding RNA (871 nucleotides) under Entoloma serpens. RNAcentral describes it as "sequence contains ITS1, 5.8S rRNA gene and ITS2". The stretch from base 231 to 384 matches the Rfam family "5.8S ribosomal RNA". The record is from RNAcentral. Lineage: Eukaryota; Fungi; Basidiomycota; Agaricomycetes; Agaricales; Entolomataceae.
UUGAAUAAACUUGGUUGGGUUGUUGCUGGCUCUCAGGAGCAUGUGCACGCUCAUUCCAUUUUUAACCACCUGUGCACUCACUGUAGGCUUGAAUGAACUUUUCGAGGAAACUCGGUAUGAGAACUGCUAGAAGCUGUUCUUGCAUUCCAGGUCUAUGUUUUAAACAUAUACUCCAUAACAAGUUACAGAAUGUUAAUUAUUGGCCUUCUGUGCCUUUAUAAACCUAAUACAACUUUCAACAACGGAUCUCUUGGCUCUCGCAUCGAUGAAGAACGCAGCGAAAUGCGAUAAGUAAUGUGAAUUGCAGAAUUCAGUGAAUCAUCGAAUCUUUGAACGCACCUUGCGCUCCUUGGUAUUCCGAGGAGCAUGCCUGUUUGAGUGUCAUGAAAUUCUCAACCUUUCUGGCUUUGAUUAGCUGGUCAGGCUUGGAUUGUGGGAGUUGCUGGCUUCUCUGGGAGAUCAGCUCUUCUUAAAUGCAUUAGCAAAAUUCUUGCUGAAUAUCUUUGGUAUGAUAAUUAUUUAUACUAUUGAGACACAGUUUUUUCCACUUUGUUCGGAUUAGGCUCCUCUUGGAUCCAUCCAAGUGUUCGAUUCAACCGCUCUGAAGCACUAGCUUAGGCACAGAUGUUAACUCGUCUGAUGGUGUUACAUAUUUCAGGUUGACGAAGCGAAGUGUUCUUCGGAACGCUCACGAGAGCAAGCACUGUAUCAAUCUCUUGUGGGGUUGUUUGUGCACUGUCAUAUUCCUGUACCUACCCUAGCUACUAUGUGGCUUUGAUGGGUCUGGUCAAACCAUGACCUGAACAUAUCCUUAGUGGAAUGGAUAUUUGCUUCUAAUAUUGUUUCUAGGAACAAACCUUUUUUUGACAAU